Molecule: ribosomal RNA, 901 nt
Filed under: uncultured marine bacterium
Lineage: Bacteria
Description: bacterial SSU rRNA
Rfam family: Bacterial small subunit ribosomal RNA
Source: RNAcentral
AUGCAAGUCGAACGCAGUAGCAAUACUGAGUGGCAGACGGGUGAGUAUAAUGUGGGUAUCUGCCUUUUGGUUUGGAAUAACACGGGGAAACUUGUGCUAAUACCGAAUAAGCCCUUACGGGGAAAGUUUUAACGCCGAAAGAUGAGCCCGCACUUGAUUAGCUAGUUGGUAAGGUAAAAGCUUACCAAGGCAACGAUCAAUAGCUGUUCUUAGAGGAAGACCAGCCACAUUGGGACUGAGACACGGCCCAGACUCCUACGGGAGGCAGCAGUGGGGAAUCUUGCACAAUGGGGGAAACCCUGAUGCAGCGAUGCCGCGUGAGUGAAGAAGGCCCUUGGGUUGUAAAACUCUUUCGUCGGGGAAGAAAAUGACUGUACCCGAAUAAGAAGGUCCGGCUAACUUCGUGCCAGCAGCCGCGGUAAUACGAAGGGACCUAGCGUAGUUCGGAAUUACUGGGCUUAAAGAGCUCGUAGGUGGUUAAAAAAGUUGAUGGUGAAAUCCCAAGGCUUAACCUUGGAACUGCCAUCAAAACUUUUUAGCUAGAGUGUGAUAGAGGUAAGUGGAAUUUCUAGUGUAGAGGUGAAAUUCGUAGAUAUUAGAAAGAACACCAAAUGCGAAGGCAACUUACUGGGUCACUACUGACACUGAGGAGCGAAAGCAUGGGUAGCGAAGAGGAUUAGAUACCCUCGUAGUCCAUGCCGUAAACGAUGUGUGCUAGACGUUGGAAAUAUAUUUUUCAGUGUCGCAGCGAAAGCAUUAAGCACACCGCCUGGGGAGUACGACCGCAAGGUUAAAACUCAAAUGAAUUGACGGGGACCCGCACAAGCAGUGGAGCAUGUGGUUUAAUUCGAAGAUACGCGCAGAACCUUACCAACACUUGACAUGUUCGUCGCGAGACUAA